Small nucleolar RNA from Molossus molossus (Pallas's mastiff bat), 81 nucleotides. RefSeq annotates it as small nucleolar RNA SNORD115. The record is from RefSeq and is a predicted model, not a curated record. The transcript has a single exon. Lineage: Eukaryota; Metazoa; Chordata; Mammalia; Chiroptera; Molossidae.
UUCUCAAUGAUGAGAACCACAUUGUCUUGAAGAGAGAUGAUGACUUAAAAAAAGUAAAGCCCUAGGAAAUUUAUGAGCGGA